GCACCGGCUAACUCCGUGCCAGCAGCCGCGGUAAUACGGAGGGUGCGAGCGUUAAUCGGAAUUACUGGGCGUAAAGCGCAUGCAGGUGGUUUGUUAAGUCAGAUGUGAAAGCCCGGGGCUCAACCUCGGAAUUGCAUUUGAAACUAGGCAGACUAGAGUACUGUAGAGGGGGGUAGGAAUUUCAGGUGUAGCGGUGAAAUAGCGUAGAGAUCUGAAGGAAUACCGGUGGCGAAGGCGGCCCCCUCGGACAGAUACUGACACUCAGAUGCGAAAGCGUGGGGAGCAAACAGGAUUAGAUACCCUGGUAG
RNAcentral lists this ribosomal RNA (308 nucleotides) under uncultured bacterium. RNAcentral describes it as "bacterial SSU rRNA". It matches the Rfam family "Bacterial small subunit ribosomal RNA", at positions 490 to 793 of the family's 1533-position model. The record is from RNAcentral.